GGGACAUGGGGUCACGUGGGAUGACGUGGGGUGACGUGGGGUCACAUGGGGUCACAUGGGGUCACAUGGGUGCUAUGGGGUGACAUGGGGUGACAUGGGGUCAUAUGGGGUGACAUGGGGUGACAUGGGGUCACAUGGGGUCACAUGGGGUCAUAUGGGGUGACAUGGGGUGACAUGGGGUGAUGUGGGGUCACACGGGUGAGAAGUGGCAGCUGAUGGGUGAUGGAUUACAUGGCUGACAUGGAUGGCAGCGCACACAGACCCCAUAGGCGCCCCACAGCACCCACAGAGCCCAAAGGGACCCCACAGACCCCAUAGGUGCCCCAUAGCACCCAUAGGCACCCCAUAGCACCCACAGACCCCAAAGGAACCCCACAGACCCCAUAGGGACCCCACAGACCCCAAAGGUGCCCCAUAGCACCCAUAGGCGCCCCACAGCACCCACAGACCCCAAAGGGACCCCACAGACCCCAUAG
RNAcentral lists this long non-coding RNA (476 nucleotides) under Gallus gallus (chicken). RNAcentral describes it as "lncRNA (ENSGALG00010003938.1)". Lineage: Eukaryota; Metazoa; Chordata; Aves; Galliformes; Phasianidae. The record is from RNAcentral.